This 560-nucleotide long non-coding RNA is filed under the name Sinocyclocheilus grahami. Its description in RNAcentral is "lncRNA (ENSSGRG00000012261.1)". Lineage: Eukaryota; Metazoa; Chordata; Actinopteri; Cypriniformes; Cyprinidae. The record is from RNAcentral.
CCCGACAGGGCGGAUAUGUAGAAUCCGUUCCGUGUUUUCCAGCUCACUUACUGUGCUAACUGAGAUAUUCAAUUAAGGAUUCCUCUUCCCACUCUGAAGCGGUUCUCCAGGGCAGAUCUUCCGAGCGACCCACCCUAUGUUAGAAAUAGGAAAAUCCAAUAAUAACAACACUAGAAAAAAAAUGAAAAAAUGAGGCAACUUUGAUCACGCAUGCUCCCUUGUCAUACACAACAUUUGCUCUAAAGUUGGAAAGUCGCGGAAAAGCCAGGAAGUAACGUUACAGUAAGCCAAUCAGCUGAGGGGAAGCAUCUCGUGUUUAAAAUGCCUGUGAUAUCCAAGAGAAGGCGUCAACAGACAGCUAUGUAAGAGUCUAGUGUGAACGUGCAAGCUAACUGUUGGCAAGAAGAAGACAGUGACCCACAGGACUGAGACAAAACUGGAGCACUCAAUAUAUCUUAAAGGAAAAUAUACUGGGAUCUGUAAGGGGGCAGAGAGAGAGAAAGACAGAGACGAAGAGAGCACAUUAUCACACAUAGUCAAAAGAUCUCCAAAUGCUUCGG